GAAACGACUGCUAAGACUGGAUAGGAGACAAGAAGGCAUCUUCUUGUUUUUAAAAGACCUAGCAAUAGGUAUGCUUAGGGAGGAGCUUGCGUCACAUUAGUUAGUUGGUGGGGUAAAGGCCUACCAAGACUAUGAUGUGUAGCCGGGCUGAGAGGUUGAACGGCCACAUUGGGACUGAGACACGGCCCAAACUCCUACGGGAGGCAGCAGUAGGGAAUUUUCGGCAAUGGAGGAAACUCUGACCGAGCAACGCCGCGUGAACGAUGAAGUAUUUCGGUACGUAAAGUUCUUUUAUUAGGGAAGAAUAAAUGAUGGAAAAAUCAUUCUGACUGUACCUAAUGAAUAAGCCCCGGCUAACUAUGUGCCAGCAGCCGCGGUAAUACAUAGGGGGCAAGCGUUAUCCGGAAUUAUUGGGCGUAAAGGGUGCGUAGGCGGUUAAAUAAGUUUAUGGUCUAAGUGCAAUGCUCAACAUUGUGAUGCUAUAAAAACUGUUUAGCUAGAGUAAGAUAGAGGCAAGUGGAAUUCCAUGUGUAGUGGUAAAAUGCGUAAAUAUAUGGAGGAACACCAGUAGCGAAGGCGGCUUGCUGGGUCUUUACUGACGCUGAGGCACGAAAGCGUGGGGAGCAAACAGGAUUAGAUACCCUGGUAGUCCACGCCGUAAACGAUGAGUACUAAACGUUGGGUAAAACCAGUGUUGAAGUUAACACAUUAAGUACUCCGCCUGAGUAGUACGUACGCAAGUAUGAAACUUAAAGGAAUUGACGGGACUCCGCACAAGCGGUGGAUCAUGUUGUUUAAUUUGAAGGUACCCGAAAAACCUCACCAGGUCUUGACAUGCUUUUGCAAAGCUGUAGAAACACAGUGGAGGUUAUCAGUUGCACAGGUGGUGCAUGGUUGUCGUCAGCUCGUGUCGUGAGAUGUUGGGUUAAGUCCCGCAACGAGCGCAACCCUUAUUGUUAGUUACCAGCACGUAAUGGUGGGGACUUUAGCAAGACUGCCAGUGAUAAAUUGGAGGAAGGUGGGGACGACGUCAAAUCAUCAUGCCCCUUAUGACCUGGGCUACAAACGUGAUACAAUGGCUGUUACAAAGGGUAGCUGAAGCGCAAGUUUUUGGCGAAUCUCAAAAAAACAGUUUCAGUUCGGAUUGAAGUUUGCAACUUGACUUCAUGAAGUUGGAAUCGCUAGUAAUCGCGAAUCAGCAUGUCGCGGUGAAUACGUUCUCGGGGUUUGUACACCCCGCCCGUCA
Molecule: ribosomal RNA, 1246 nt
Filed under: Phytoplasma sp.
Lineage: Bacteria; Bacillati; Mycoplasmatota; Mollicutes; Acholeplasmatales; Acholeplasmataceae
Description: bacterial SSU rRNA
Rfam family: Bacterial small subunit ribosomal RNA
Source: RNAcentral